Molecule: long non-coding RNA, 1137 nt
Organism: Mandrillus leucophaeus (drill)
Lineage: Eukaryota; Metazoa; Chordata; Mammalia; Primates; Cercopithecidae
Exons: 3
Source: RefSeq, a predicted model, not a curated record
AGCCACAUUUGCUGCUUUUCUGAGAGAGUGAGAAGCAACCACGUGGCUGACUUCUUUUCAAAGUUCUCUGCCUCAGAGGAGGAAGCCCCAUGGGUGGAGGCCAGGCCUGAGGCCAUCCUGCUCUGGGCCAGAGCAUGCUUGUGUCUGAUGAGCGAGGACACGCCUCGUCUGGCUGAGGCUUCCAUUUCACACUGGCGGUUCGAACCCCCAUCACGGCUUCCUUUUGGGCUCCCCUCCUCAGGGGCCCGGGCCUGAAAUGUGCUUGCCCUUCAUCCCUCAGGAUGUGUCCCUUCCUCAGAGAGGACUAAGUUAGCCCCUCCCCUAGUCUCGAUGUGCUCCGAAGCCCUUCCUAUUCACAGAAACUAUCUGGCCUAUUUAUUUGCUUGCUUGCUUGCUUCUGAUGUCUUCUCUUACUCAAAGGAAUCGAAGGGCCAAGGAAUGUGUUUUUCGUUGAUGUCAACUUGCUGCAAAGGACCACACCUGCUUCUCGACCCGGGAACGUGGGAAAGGGAAAGGCACGGCUUGUUUUGGUGAAGAUGGAGGAGCUGGUAACAGUGGAGGAAUGCCCUUCUUCUGAUUCACAGCGGGGAGGUGCUCUGGGCCCCUGCCACUGCCCGAGGACUUCGGGUAAGUAAGCCCGUGGCCCCCAACCCUUCCCCGCCAGAUGCCCUGGCAGACGGCUUGUCCUGACAAGUACGUGCUUUCUGGAUGGAACAGCCUCCCUUUUGUCCAAACCCUUCCUUUGAAUUUAAAAUGCACAAAGCGCCUUUCGAAGAGGAAAAGAACGGGAUCAGGAAGAGGAGGCUGUAUCUCAUUUGGACACGCAAGCCCUCAGCUCCUGCCCGAGAGUUUCUGUAAUUCGCUCCCACACCACGUCAUGCCUUUUGGCUCCCAGCCAGCUUUCGGUUGUCCUGAUGAGAGGACGUGGCAUUUGAGCAGUAGCUUCUGGAACCCAGAGUGAAGCCCCACCCAGGCACCCUGACAGCACCACGGGAAUGCUCCCGGCACAGCAAGCGGGACUCUGGAGAAGCACAGCCUCCGUGCUCCUUGUAGAUGUUCAGUUCAAACUCCACGGUUUGUGUGACUCACUGAGGGGCUUGGUUUGGCUCUGGCUGACGAGUCUGUCAUCGGUACCAG